CAGCCGCAAGGCAUGUAUGAAGGUGCUGCAUGGUUGUCGUCAGCUCGUGCCGUGAGGUGUCGGCUUAAGUGCCAUAACGAGCGCAACCCUUUCUGCCAGUUACUAACAGGCAAUGCUGAGGACUCUGGCGGUACUGCCAUCGUAAGAUGUGAGGAAGGUGGGGAUGACGUCAAAUCAGCACGGCCCUUACGUCCGGGGCUACACACGUGUUACAAUGGGGGGUACAGAAGGCAGCUUACCGGCGACGGUUGGCCAAUCCCGAAAGCCCCUCUCAGUUCGGACUGGAGUCUGCAACCCGACUCCACGAAGCUGGAUUCGCUAGUAAUCGCGCAUCAGCCACGGCGCGGUGAAUACGUUCCCGGGCCUUGUACACACCGCCCGUCAAGCCAUGAAAGCCGGGAGUACCUGAAGUGCGUAACCGCAAGGAGCGCCCUAGGGUAACACUGGUAAUUGGGGCUAAGUCGUAACAAGGUAGCCGUACCGGAAGGUGCGGCUGGAACACCUCCUUU
RNAcentral lists this ribosomal RNA (509 nucleotides) under Bacteroides caecigallinarum. Its description in RNAcentral is "bacterial SSU rRNA". It matches the Rfam family "Bacterial small subunit ribosomal RNA", at positions 1014 to 1533 of the family's 1533-position model. Lineage: Bacteria; Pseudomonadati; Bacteroidota; Bacteroidia; Bacteroidales; Bacteroidaceae. RNAcentral also lists the same sequence under 1 other name. The record is from RNAcentral.